GUAGUCAAUAACGCGUCGCGAUUGGUGAAGCCGGCGAGACGGUGGACUUCAUUUCCCGAGUAAACCAUCGUCGAAGGACAUGCGGUGGCCAUCUGCAACUCGUAAAUAUACUUCCGCCUGCAGUGCUGCAGAAAGCUUGUCUGCAGAAGCAGGAAGUCCCCAGAUGGAGGCGCUGUGUAUGUAUGAGUUUGGUUUUGUUUGUUUUUGUUUCUAUGCACCACUUUUGGUGUAUAUUAGUGCAUUACUACUGCCAGUCUUACAUACUGCUACCUUUCUGCAAUCAAAUGAGUUCAUUUGAUUGCGUAGUAGUAUGGGGGACUGGCAGUAGUAAUGCACUAACGGAGAGUGGGGCCCCUGUCAAAAAUUUUUUUUUUUUUUACCUUCCAAAAAUUUUGAAUUUGCAAAAAAAUAUUAUAACCCCCAUGUUGUAUUCUGGGAAAUUCCGGGGGGCCAGAUUGCCUGCCCGUCCACUCACACCACACACACACCUCCCCCACCCUUGGGGACCACCGACGUUGCUCAGGUGCGGUCUCAGGGACUCGAACCAUCAACCUCUACCUCCUGAGGAUCGGUUCAGCCCCCUACGCCACAUACUCCUUCGCAUUUAUCGCUCAUUUUUUUGUGCACUUACACAGCACUACGGACAAAAGCUGCGCAAACUGAAGGGACGAACGGGGAUUCGAACCCUGAAGCUCCGCGUUCCAAGCUUUGGACAAUACCUUUACGCCACCGUCAUGUUAGCGGUUGCGCGGCUGCAGAAAUGGCCUGAUGAUGAGACAACCCAAGUAUAAGCGAAACAAAGACGAAGGGGGGUUCGAACCCCAACCUCUGCGUCCGUAGGCAAAGACAAUACCGCUGCGCCACCUUCUCUUCUGUGAAUCGGCCGGCUUUUCUGUGGGUAGAAGAAGAUGACACAACAGAAAUUUUUACAAAAAAAUCUCAGAAAUUUUGCCUUCAUCUACUAACUUCGGACCUGAAGGCGAUGAACCUUGUUACCUAUGUCUUACAGCUGGUUCUUAGAGCCACAGCAGAGGGGGGAUUGAACUUACUAUCUUGGGAUUCGUGGAACAGGGUACUCUGUCUUGCACCACGAAGCCCUUCAAGAAUUCCUGGGUGUUCAUUAGUGAACUUAUUCACAGACCGAUAAGAAUUAAACAGGAAGAGCUCAGCUUUGAAUAGCAGAGAUCCAGAUUAGGUGCUCUCCUAAAAUGAACUCUACGAAACUGUGGAAAAUUAUAAACUGACACCCUAACAUAUUUUGGCUUCUUUAAAUAAAGCUGUUGAUUCAUUGAAGGAAUUCCUUUGCAUUUGUGAUUUAUAAUUAGAAUAACAGGUGACUGACCAGUCCCGUUCAAACAGAUGACCUAAUUAAAGGUGUAAUGUUGUUGCAUCUUAUAGGUGUGCAUGAAAGUGAUUAGUUGGUUAUAUUUUUUAUGCCUUUGAAUGUUUUCUUUCACAAGGAUGAAAAAUGAGAUUUAAUCUAGUCAGUAAUGUACUAUGGAGAACACUCAUAUUCUGUUUUUAUAAACUGCAGUGGAUAUGUAUUGGGGACAGGGCUUGUAAAUGCAUUUUAUUUUCUUUUUAAUAAUGAAAUAAAAUGAAUUGUGUUUUGUAAUUUUAUACUGCAAUUACAUUUCAUUCUUGAAUGUUGUGCUGCCAUUGCUGAAUAAAAAUAAUGCACAAUAA
This is a long non-coding RNA of Anguilla anguilla (European eel), 1686 nucleotides long. RefSeq lists it as uncharacterized. The record is from RefSeq and is a predicted model, not a curated record. NCBI's taxonomy places the organism in Eukaryota, Metazoa, Chordata, Actinopteri, Anguilliformes, Anguillidae. The transcript is spliced from 2 exons.